GGGUUGUGAGGUUAAGCGACUAAGCGUACACGGUGGAUGCCCUGGCAGUCAGAGGCGAUGAAGGACGUGCUAAUCUGCGAUAAGCGUCGGUAAGGUGAUAUGAACCGUUAUAACCGGCGAUUUCCGAAUGGGGAAACCCAGUGUGAUUCGUCACACUAUCAUUAACUGAAUCCAUAGGUUAAUGAGGCGAACCGGGGGAACUGAAACAUCUAAGUACCCCGAGGAAAAGAAAUCAACCGAGAUUCCCCCAGUAGCGGCGAGCGAACGGGGAGCAGCCCAGAGCCUGAAUCAGUGUGUGUGUUAGUGGAAGCGUCUGGAAAGGCGUGCGAUACAGGGUGACAGCCCCGUACACAA
RNAcentral lists this ribosomal RNA (354 nucleotides) under Escherichia sp. E2586. RNAcentral describes it as "partial 23S ribosomal RNA". It matches the Rfam family "Bacterial large subunit ribosomal RNA", at positions 1 to 382 of the family's 2925-position model. Lineage: Bacteria; Pseudomonadati; Pseudomonadota; Gammaproteobacteria; Enterobacterales; Enterobacteriaceae. The record is from RNAcentral.